CCUACGGGGGGCAGCAGUGGGGAAUAUUGGACAAUGGGGGGAACCCUGAUCCAGCCAUGCCGCGUGUGUGAAGAAGGCCCUCGGGUUGUAAAGCACUUUCAGUGAGGAAGAACGCCUGGUGGUUAAUACCCAUCAGGAAAGACAUCACUCACAGAAGAAGCUCCGGCUAACUCCGUGCCAGCAGCCGCGGUAAUACGGAGGGUGCGAGCGUUAAUCGGAAUUACUGGGCGUAAAGCGCGCGUAGGUGGCUUGAUAAGCCGGUUGUGAAAGCCCCGGGCUCAACCUGGGAACGGCAUCCGGAACUGUCAAGCUAGAGUGCAGGAGAGGAAGGUAGAAUUCCCGGUGUAGCGGUGAAAUGCGUAGAGAUCGGGAGGAAUACCAGUGGCGAAGGCGGCCUUCUGGACUGACACUGACACUGAGGUGCGAAAGCGUGGGUAGCAAACAGGAUUAGAUACCCUAGUAGUC
This 465-nucleotide ribosomal RNA is filed under the name Vreelandella stevensii. Its description in RNAcentral is "partial 16S ribosomal RNA". It matches the Rfam family "Bacterial small subunit ribosomal RNA", at positions 338 to 795 of the family's 1533-position model. The record is from RNAcentral. Lineage: Bacteria; Pseudomonadati; Pseudomonadota; Gammaproteobacteria; Oceanospirillales; Halomonadaceae.